AUACCUUUCUCGGCCUUUUGGCUAAGAUCAAGUGUAGUAUCUGUUCUUAUCAGUUUAAUAUCUGAUACGUGGGCCAUUGGCUCACAUGGUAUUUAAUAUAUUUUUAAAGGGGGAGAGUCCAUCACAGUAGCUUGCUAUUGGGGCUUUCGAGCGUCGCCCAGGCGUUGCACUAUAGUUCUGGCACGGCGCACUCCAC
RNAcentral lists this small nuclear RNA (196 nucleotides) under Gossypium arboreum. Its description in RNAcentral is "U2 spliceosomal RNA". It matches the Rfam family "U2 spliceosomal RNA". Rfam says of the family: U2 is a small nuclear RNA (snRNA) component of the spliceosome (involved in pre-mRNA splicing). Complementary binding between U2 snRNA (in an area lying towards the 5' end but 3' to hairpin I) and the branchpoint sequence (BPS) of the intron results the bulging out of an unpaired adenosine, on the BPS, which initiates a nucleophilic attack at the intronic 5' splice site, thus starting the first of two transesterification reactions that mediate splicing. Lineage: Eukaryota; Viridiplantae; Streptophyta; Magnoliopsida; Malvales; Malvaceae. The record is from Rfam by way of RNAcentral.